UGUCAUGGAGUUGCUCUCUUGA
RNAcentral lists this microRNA (22 nucleotides) under Callorhinchus milii (elephant shark). RNAcentral's name for it is "Cmi-Mir-281-v1_3p (mature (guide))". RNAcentral also lists the same sequence under 1 other name. The record is from RNAcentral. Lineage: Eukaryota; Metazoa; Chordata; Chondrichthyes; Chimaeriformes; Callorhinchidae.